This 1174-nucleotide long non-coding RNA is filed under the name Bemisia tabaci. RNAcentral describes it as "lncRNA ENSASIAIIG002612". Lineage: Eukaryota; Metazoa; Arthropoda; Insecta; Hemiptera; Aleyrodidae. The record is from RNAcentral.
GUUCCAUUCAGUUAAAGCACGAUUCCUCUCCGACACACAGACCAAAAGGAUACAAACAGACCAACAGUCAGGAAGAGGAAGAUGAAGAUGAUUGGACACCAAGACCCACCAGUGCGACGAAAUAUACAGGCAAAGCCAAGCAGGAGCCAAAACUUUCAAACAGAACAGAAAAUGAAGCUGAAGAUGACUCGACAGUAAAAGUUAACCACUCCUCUGAUAAUGUGAAGGAAGACAAAUGUACCACAGGAGCUCAGAACGCCGAAAAUAUCUAUGAAGAUCAUUGGACUCCUACAAUGAAAAAAUUAAAGAAAUAUCCUUAAAUGAUGACUGUAAUCCUAAUGAUAACUGGAAUCCUAAGGAUUUAAGUUCCUCCAAAAAUUCGGUUGAAGUUAGUGAGAAUGGUGAUAUGGAUUCUGGCUAUUUUGACACAAAACCAACAGUUUCAAGCCCUAGUCUUCAAUCCAGACAGCCCUCGUGCACAGGAUUCUUACUUAAUUGUACUGUUCAACCACAAGAAAUUCAUAAAGCAACUGGGAAGAAUGGAACGCAGCAUUUAGUGCCAAUCACAAUUUGUGUAGCAAACUCCCCAUCUGACUUUUAUUUUCAGCUGAACUCAGAAGCAGAAGGUCUAAAAUCUUUGAUGAAUAAAAUGAAUCAAUUUUACCUUGGAACUCAGAAACAUCUUGGUCCAACUGAUAUUACAAUUGGAAGCAUUUAUGUUGCAAAAUUGCCUCCCAGUGGAAAAUGGCACAGGGUUCGAGCUCUAUCAGAUUUAAAUAGUGGAAAUGAAGUUGAUGUUUUUUCAAUUGAUUAUGGACUCACCGGCAAGGUGCAGUGUUCCGAGUUGAGGUUAUUGCACACAAAUUUUGCCAAAAUGCCCGCACAGGGAAUUCAUGCUCAGCUAAGCUUGAAACCAGCUGAAGGUGGAGAAUGGCAUCCAAUGGGUCGGCAGCUUUUCGUCAAACUAGCAGGAAGAUUCAUUUGGUCAGCAGAAGUAGUGAAAAUCAUAAACCCAAAGUCUGUUCAGCAAAAAGUUGAGGUUGUGCUGAAAGUCAAAGGAAUAGCUUCUAACUAUCUCUCAAGCCAACAGAACUCACCAGGCUCUAAUAACAAAGAGGAACAUGCUAUUAAAGAUGUAAUUAACGAGUUCAUCAGAGAUUUGACCCAUGUCUAG